Molecule: RNA transcript, 1766 nt
Organism: Daucus carota subsp. sativus
Lineage: Eukaryota; Viridiplantae; Streptophyta; Magnoliopsida; Apiales; Apiaceae
Exons: 8
Source: RefSeq, a predicted model, not a curated record
AUAAAAUAGCAGCGAUUAAAGCUUACUCUGUACUCUACUCUCUACUCCACCACCUCUUCAAACCAAAAAUAACACACACUAAAACACACACACACACACACACACAACUCUCCGACACACUGUCUUGCAAUGGCGACAAAACCGCCGGCCGGCGAUAUUUUCGACCUCGAAUUCCGGUGCUCCGACGACGACGCGUGGUACAGCGUCCGAGCUAUUCUCGUCAGCGGCACGCUAACGAUCCAGUUCGAGAACUUCCCGGAGAUAUCCUUCGGCGUCACCGAGUUCGACUCGCUUGAGCACCUCGACGAGUUCACACGGCGAAUUCGCCCUGUGUCGACUCAGUUGCAGGACAGCGAGUGUUAUAAAAUCGAUAAAGGGAUGAAAGUUUGCGCGUAUUCAAGCUGGAGAGAAGAUGAUCUCCGCUAUUACGAUGCCAUUGUUGAAGCUAUUGAGUUUAAGGAUCAUUUGUUUGAGAAAGGAGAAGAGGAGUGUCUGUGCACCUUUGUGCUAUCCUGGCUGCAUGGUCCCAAUGCGGGUAAUAUGUCUUCUUCAGGUGUUGCAAGCAUAUGCUUAGUGAACACCAAUGCCCCUCUCAAUUCUACAAUAUUGACUUUCUUAAAACUGGCAAAGGAGAACAUAAAAAGGGCUUCGCUUCGAACUCGUUCAGUUUCCAAGAGUUAUUCGACUCCAACAACUACACCAGAUCGUAUCCAGGAAACCAAGGGUGCCUGUCAUUUCCCCGCCGUGGCAAGUUUUCAAAUUGACGAAGAUCGGGAUAUUGGAGGAGUUCCUUUUAACAUGAAUAAAGUUGAGGAACUUGGAAAUCACCACUAUAUUCUAAUUGAUAAUUUGGAGAAAGAUCUAUCCCCAACAUCGGUCAUUGAAUUUAUACGCAAACAAACUUCCAUCACAGCAGAAGCAUAUGUUUUUCCUAGUUUAUUAGCAGAGUCCUAUACAAGAGGGGCCAUAGUGCUGGCUUCGAAAAGAAGUCUUGAGGAGAUAUAUAAAUUCCUAAUCAAUCCUGAUCACGCUAUCGUAUCUUCAACUGGAAGGCCAUGGGUCAUAACUGAGGAGAAAAUGAGGCGUGGAUAUUUCAAAAGUGUAGGGAGUUUGAUGCCAAGAUCUCAGGGCGGAAUCGUCGAGGACAAAUUAAAGGUGGUUCGUGCAGGAACUGAAGAAUUUAGAAAAGCUGCAAGAUUGAAGAAUUUGUUCAAGGACUUCACUGAUCAUCAACGACAACUUCACGAGAGGUUAACUUUAGAGCAUAAUAAGAACUUAUAUCCUUCAAGCGCAUCUUAUCCCGGUGCUGGCUAGAAUCUUUUGCAGAUGGAGCAUACAAAAAGUCAGUUUCUGGUUUAUUACACAAAGCAUAAAAUCGAUAAUGGCGUAAAUCUCGGGGAAGCUCUGUCAAACAGGCUCUAGCUGAUUUUUGUGAUCUCUCAUAUGUGGGGUCACAUUUGUUUGAAGGAAAGCAGGACUGUAAGUAAAGCAUCUCAGUGUCUGAAAUCAAGAAUCUGGAGUUGUACAGAUUAUCAUAUUCCCGCCGAGCGUGAGAAGAUUGUACUUAAAACUUAAAAGAGUUAAAAGAGUUGAACCCAGAUAGUCAGUUAUUGAGGGUCGAGGAUGAUGCAACUGAAGUGGUUGAACCUAGAUUAUGUACUUAAAAGUAAAUCUUUAAUUCUGAAAUUUUUUUAAUAGAAUCUGUCACCUGUAGAAUGUGUAAUUUUUCGUGUAUCAAUUAUUACCGUAUAAUAUUUUUGCUUGUU